CCUUCGAUAGCUCAGUUGGUAGAGCGGAGGACUGUAGAGGAAUUACAGAGAUCCUUAGGUCACUGGUUCAAUUCCGGUUCGAAGGA
Molecule: non-coding RNA, 86 nt
Organism: Xenopus laevis (African clawed frog)
Lineage: Eukaryota; Metazoa; Chordata; Amphibia; Anura; Pipidae
Source: Rfam